This 610-nucleotide ribosomal RNA is filed under the name Brachybacterium sp. BAB-5537. RNAcentral's name for it is "partial 16S ribosomal RNA". It matches the Rfam family "Bacterial small subunit ribosomal RNA", at positions 836 to 1442 of the family's 1533-position model. The record is from RNAcentral. Lineage: Bacteria; Bacillati; Actinomycetota; Actinomycetes; Micrococcales; Dermabacteraceae.
GUUUUCCGCGCCGUAGCUAACGCAUUAAGUGCCCCGCCUGGGGAGUACGGCCGCAAGGCUAAAACUCAMAGGAAUUGACGGGGGCCCGCACAAGCGGCGGAGCAUGCUGAUUAAUUCGAUGCAACGCGAARAACCUUACCAAGGYUUGACAUGYACUGGACGGCUGCASAGAUGUGGCUUUCUUUGGACUGGUGCACAGGUGGUGCAUGGUUGUCGUCAGCUCGUGUCGUGAGAUGUUGGGUUAAGUCCCGCAACGAGCGCAACCCUCGUUCUAUGUUGCCAGCMCGUGAUGGUGGGGACUCAUAGGAGACUGCCGGGGUCAACUCGGAGGAAGGUGGGGACGACGUCMAAUCAUCAUGCCCCUUAUGUCUUGGGCUUCAAGCAUGCUACAAUGGUCGGUACAWUGGGUUGCGAAACUGUGAGGUGGAGCGAAUCCCAAAAAGCCCGGCCUCAGUUCGGAUUGGGGUCUGCAACUCGACCCCCAUGAAGUCGGAGUCSCUAGUMAWUCGCASAUCAGCAACCGCUGCGGUGAAUACGUUYCCGGGCCUUGUACACACCGCCCGUCAAGUCACSAAAAGUCGGUAACACCCGAAGCCAGUGSCCCAUCCUC